GUUUUAUGGGACAUCCGAUAAAACUGAAAUGAUACAUUGAAGAUUAGCAUAGCGCCUGUGCAAGGAUGACACGCAUAAAUCGAGAAAUGGUCUAAAUUUUU
Small nuclear RNA from Alnus glutinosa, 101 nucleotides. The record is from RefSeq and is a predicted model, not a curated record. Lineage: Eukaryota; Viridiplantae; Streptophyta; Magnoliopsida; Fagales; Betulaceae.